GAUGAACGCUGGCGGCGUGCUUAACACAUGCAAGUCGAACGGAAAGGCCAGUGCUUGCCCUGGUACUCGAGUGGCGAACGGGUGAGUAACACGUGGGUGAUCUGCCCUGUACUUAGGGAUAAGCUUGGGAAACUGGGUCUAAUACCGGAUAGGACAACUUUUUGGAUAUUGUUGUGGAAAGCUUUUGCGGUAUGGGAUGAGCUCGCGGCCUAUCAGCUUGUUGGUGGGGUAUGGCCUACCAAGGCGUCGACGGGUAGCCGGCCUGAGAGGGUGUACGGCCACAUUGGGACUGAGAUACGGCCCAGACUCCUACGGGAGGCAGCAGUGGGGAAUAUUGCACAAUGGGCGCAAGCCUGAUGCAGCGACGCCGCGUGGGGGAUGAAGGCCUUCGGGUUGUAAACUCCUUUCGCUAGGGACGAAGCGUAAGUGACGGUACCUGGAGAAGAAGCACCGGCUAACUACGUG
Molecule: ribosomal RNA, 465 nt
Filed under: uncultured bacterium
Lineage: Bacteria
Description: partial 16S ribosomal RNA
Rfam family: Bacterial small subunit ribosomal RNA
Source: RNAcentral